Molecule: long non-coding RNA, 500 nt
Organism: Nymphaea colorata (pocket water lily)
Lineage: Eukaryota; Viridiplantae; Streptophyta; Magnoliopsida; Nymphaeales; Nymphaeaceae
Exons: 2
Source: RefSeq, a predicted model, not a curated record
CUAUAUUUGACAAACUUGCUGCUUCGCUGUCGCCGCUCCGCUCGUCCGCUGGUUCGCCAAUGCCACACUCACCGCUCUGCUCGUCCGCUGGUUCGCCAACGCCUCACUCGCGGCUCUCAAGUAAUCGAUACUUGUGAAGACCAACAACGUGAAUUCAUUCUGUCACGGAUCAAGGUGCACUUGAAUGCUCCUGAAGUGAUAUACUUAUGGAAAGCACAUUGUUGCUCGUGUGGAGAAGCUCAUAGCUAAUGGAGGUAGAAAAAGUUGCAAAACACCCUUAACAGUUAUGCUCUUGUAAUCCCUUAACUGUAAUUCAAGUAAAUGACGGUGGUGAUGCCGAUUUUUAGGAUUAGUAAUUGCAGAUAUUGAUGCUCAUGUCAUCUUGAGGUACAUGUAAAAAUUUUACAGUUUGUAGAGAUGAGUAUAUCGUAGCCAAACUGUAAAGAAAAUGUUGAGCAAACGGCAUCUCUUGAAAGGUCGGGAAUUUUCUGGCUUUGUUA